This 402-nucleotide ribosomal RNA is filed under the name bacterium. RNAcentral's name for it is "partial 16S ribosomal RNA". It matches the Rfam family "Bacterial small subunit ribosomal RNA", at positions 355 to 776 of the family's 1533-position model. The record is from RNAcentral.
UGGGGAAUUUUGCACAAUGGGGGAAACCCUGAUGCAGCGACGCCGCGGGAUGUAGAGGCCCUUCGGGGUGUAAAACUCUUUUCAAUGGGAAGAAAAUGACAGUACCAUAGGAAUAAGGACCGGCUAAUUACGUGCCAGCAGCCGCGGUAAUACGUAAGGUCCGAGCGUUGUCCGGAAUCAUUGGGCGGAAAGGGUACGUAUGCGGGUAAGCAAGUUAGAAGUGAGAUCCUAUAGCUCCACUAUAGUAAGCUUUCAAAACUGCUCAUCUUGGAGUAUGGGAGGGAAAGGGGAAUUCCUAGGGUAGCGGUGAAAUGCGCAGAUAAUAGGAGGAAUACCGGUGGCGAAGGCGACUUUCUGGCCAUAACCUGACGAUGAGGUACGAAAGCGUGGGUAGCAAACAAG